GAUGAAGAACGCAGCGAAAUGCGAUAAGUAAUGUGAAUUGCAGAAUUCAGUGAAUCAUCGAAUCUUUGAACGCACAUUGCGCCCGCCAGUAUUCUGGCGGGCAUGCCUGUUCGAGCGUCAUUACAACCCUCAGGCCCCCGGGCCUGGCGUUGGGGAUCGGCGGAGCCCCCCGUGGGCACACGCCGUCCCCCAAAUGCAGUGGCGGUCCCGCCGCAGCUUCCAUCGCGUAGUAGCUAACACCUCGCGACUGGAGAGCGGCGCGGCCACGCCGUAAAACACCCAACUCUUCUGAAGUUGACCUCGAAUCAGGUAGGAAUACCCGCUGAACUUAAGCAUAUCAAUAAGCCGGAGGA
This 353-nucleotide unclassified non-coding RNA is filed under the name soil metagenome. Its description in RNAcentral is "partial contains 5.8S ribosomal RNA, internal transcribed spacer 2, and large subunit ribosomal RNA". The stretch from base 1 to 120 matches the Rfam family "5.8S ribosomal RNA", at positions 35 to 154 of the family's 154-position model. The record is from RNAcentral.